This 302-nucleotide long non-coding RNA is filed under the name Lathyrus oleraceus (garden pea). RNAcentral describes it as "Pisum sativum (pea) long non-coding RNA (PSAT_LNC033976)". The record is from RNAcentral. Lineage: Eukaryota; Viridiplantae; Streptophyta; Magnoliopsida; Fabales; Fabaceae.
CUUUCAGAGAGAGAGAGAAUGUGUGUAUAACCCUUUAACUUUUUUGAUGGUGAGAAGAUAUAAUGAAAAGGAAAAAGGUCCCCCGCAUCCGCCAGACCCCCUUUUUCCGGAUUUAAUUCUCUUUUUUCUUUAUUCCUAUUGUACCGUUGGAACAAGAACGUUUCCUUUUUUUGUUUUUUCUGUCUUUCUCCAUAAAUCCGUUGAGAGAGGACACGUAGGGAGUGCAAGUGUUACUCCCACCGAAAAAUUCUUUUCUUUUUUCUUUUUUUGUUCUUAUCGUCCUAGCUCAUGAGAGAUUUAUG